AGAAUCAACGCUGGCGGCGUGCCUAACACAUGCAAGUCGCACGAGAAAGGGGAGCAAUCCCUGAGUACAGUGGCGCACGGGUGAGUAACACGUGAAUAAUCUACCUCCGAGUGGGGAAUAACUGAGAGAAAUCUUAGCUAAUACCGCAUAAUACCCACGGGUCAAAGCAGCAAUGCGCUUGGAGAGGAGUUCGCGGCAGAUUAGUUAGUUGGCGGGGUAAUGGCCCACCAAGACGAUGAUCUGUAUCCGGCCUGAGAGGGCGCACGGACACACUGGAACUGAAACACGGUCCAGACUCCUACGGGAGGCAGCAGUGGGGAAUUUUGCGCAAUGGGGGAAACCCUGACGCAGCAACGCCGCGUGGAGGAUGAAGCCCCUUGGGGUGUAAACUCCUUUCGAUCGGGAAGAUAAUGACGGUACCGAUAUAAGAAGCCCCGGCUAACGUUCGUGCCAGCAGCCGC
Molecule: ribosomal RNA, 461 nt
Filed under: uncultured bacterium
Lineage: Bacteria
Description: SSU rRNA
Rfam family: Bacterial small subunit ribosomal RNA
Source: RNAcentral